Molecule: long non-coding RNA, 5812 nt
Filed under: Gossypium barbadense (sea-island cotton)
Lineage: Eukaryota; Viridiplantae; Streptophyta; Magnoliopsida; Malvales; Malvaceae
Description: long non-coding RNA (GBAR_LNC002026)
Source: RNAcentral
GAAAUAAUAUUUGGUGCAACUAAAUACACAACAGCCAUUGACAUUUGUUCUAGGUACGUACAGGCCGUUUAGUUGCUAAAUUUUUUUCCUUAUUUCAAUGCAUUUUCACUUUAAAUUACUUAACAAAUAUUACUUUUUGGACUCCAGCCUCUGUUUGCUGGUGAGAGUGGAGUAGACCAGGUACGUUUUAUUAAGGUACGUUUUAAAUAUUUUAAAGAUUCAAAGUAUAUAGGCUGGAAACCUGACCUUAUAGUAUUAAUUAUUUGAAGUAUGAAUAAGUAUGAAUUAAUUUUAUUACCAUAUAUGUAGCUUGCUUGUCCAUUAUAAUUACAACAAUAGCUGACCUUCUCUCCAACCUUAUUUUAAAUAUUUUAAAUAUUCAAAGUAUAUAGGCUGGAAACCUGACGGGUUGCCUUAUAUCGAGCUGCAAGAUAUAAUGGAUCCUCCCUAGGUGUAACAACGCCACGUAUGAUGAAUCUUAAAAAAUUCAAAAAGAAUUGAAAAAAGUUCUAUCGCUAUUGAAUAUUCAUAUAACCUUAAUUUAUUUCCAAUUUACUUAUAAAAAUUAAACUACGAUUCUUUCUUGAUAUUAUUAUAUUCAAAUUACUAUUUUGUUAUAUUAAACAUGUUUGAUUUUAAUAUUUAAUAUUUUUAUAUAUCUUUAAAAGUUAUAACUAAUUUUUAUCAAAAUAGUAUUAAUUAUUAUUUGAAGUAUGAAUAAGUAUGAAUAAGUUUUUAUAUUUUGGUUCAACUUAAGUAUUAUUUGACUCAACUUAAUUAUGAAUUAAUUUUAUUACCAUAUAUGUAGCUUGCUUGUCCAUUCCUUAUUUUAAAUAUUUUAAAGAUUCAAAGUAUAUAGGCUGGAAACCUGACGGGUUGCCUUAUAUCGAGCUGCAAGAUAUAAUGGAUCCUCCCUAGGUGUAACAACGCCACGUAUGAUGAAUCUUAAAAAAUUCAAAAAGAAUUGAAAAAAGUUCUAUCGCUAUUAAAUAUUUAUAUAACCUUAAUUUAUUUCCAAUUUACUUAUAAAAAUUAAACUACGAUUCUUUCUUGAUAUUAUUAUAUUCAAAUUACUAUUUUGUUAUAUUAAACAUAUUUGAUUUUAAUAUUUAAUAUUUUUAAAUUCCUUUAAAAGUUAUAACUAAUUUUUAUCAAAAUAGUAUUAAUUAUUAUUUGAAGUAUGAAUAAGUAUGAAUAAGUUUUUAUAUUUUGGUUCAACUUAAGUAUUAUUUGAUUCAACUUAAGUAUGAAUUAAUUUUAUUACCAUAUAUGUAGCUUGCUUGUCCAUUCCUUAUUUUAAAUAUUUUAAAGAUUCAAAGUAUAUAGGCUGGAAACCUGACGGGUUGCCUUAUAUAGAGCUGCAAGAUAUAAUGGAUCCUCCCUGGGUGUAACAACGCCACGUAUGAUGAAUCUUAAAAAAUUCAAAAAGAAUUAAAAAAAUUUCUAGUGCUAUUGAAUAUUUAUAUAACCUUAAUUUAUUUCCAAUUUACUUAUAAAAAUUAAACUACGAUUCUUUCUUGAUAUUAUUAUAUUCAAAUUACUAUUUUGUUAUAUUAAACAUGUUUGAUUUUAAUAUUUAAUAUUUUUAAAUGUCUUUAAAAGUUAUAACUAAUUUUUAUUAAAAUAGUAUUAAUAUUGAUCAUUACUUAAAUAAAUUACAUAACUCACAUAACGUACAUAACAACUUACAUAACUUAACUAAUACAUGUAGUUUAAUCUAAUAAUUUCCUUAAAAGCAUACAGUUUAAAAGUUCAAAUUUCAUAACUUACAUAAUCUACAUAACUUACAUAAAACAUAAAUAUAUAUCAUAUCAAGACUUACAUAAUAAACAACUUACCCGUGAAACUUAUUGCCAACUUUAGACUUCAACAACUACGAAAUGGAUAGGACUUGGAUGAAUUUCUCAAGGGCAAGCAACGAGUAUCAAAAUGGAGUGCAAUCUUUUCUAGAUUUUGCAUUUCACAAUUCAAGCCAAGAGAAUAUGAUUCUUUGCCCGUGUAAGAAGUGUGGCAAUAUCUAUUGGCAUUAUCGUGAAGUUGUCUACGAACAUCUAAUUGUUGAUGGCUUCAUUCAGGGGAAUAAAAAAUGGAUUUUCCAUGGAGAGUGUACACCUAGUGGAGCCUCUUCGACGAUUAAUCCAGGUUAUCCUUAUAGUGGUUACCGUUAGCAUGUUAGAGAAGAUGACAUGGAAGGUAUAAUGCAGGAUGCAUUUAAUAUGCGGAGUGAAAGUUUCCAAUCAUUUCCACCAAACUAUGUUGCAUCUGAUGAUUAUAAUAUCAGUGGGAAUGCUUUUAUGGAAACGAGAAGAAGUGUACCGGAUGAACAACGGAAUGAAGAAGCGGCGAAGUUCUACACGUUACUUGGUGAAAUGAAUGAAGAACUUUAUGAGGGAUCAAAAUUUUCGAAAAUGUCAUUCUAUAUUUGACUUUUCAACUUAAAAUGUUUGGGAAGGUGGACCGGAAACUCUUUGACAAUGCUGUUAGAGCUUUUGAGAGAAAUGUUCUCAUUUGCAAAAAUCCCUCAAUCAUGUAAAGACAUGAAGAAAGUGAUAAAAGAUUUGGGCCUUGGGUACAACAAAAUUCAUAGUUGCCCAAAUGAUUGCAUGUUGUAUUGGGGUGAUCAGAGAAAUCAACAGUCAUGUCAUGUUUGCAGUAAAUCUCGUUGGAUGAAUAGAGAUGCAGAAGAUGUUAAUGAGGAUGAAUAUGGGCCAAAGUGAAGAAGGAAGCCGAACAAGAUUUUGCGAUAUUUCCCGCUAAUCCCAAGGCUUCAAAGGCUAUUCAUGUCGUCAAAGACAGCUGAGUUUAUGACUUGGCAUCAUGAUCAACCAACAGAUGAUGGAUUAUUAAGGCAUCCUGCAGAUUCUUUUGCAUGGAAAUCAUUUGACAAUAAAUUUCCAAGCUUUGCAAGUGAUCCUCGGAGUGUAAGGCUCGGGUUAGCAUCUGACGGAUUUAAUCCUUUUAAAAUCAUGAGCACCUCGUACAGUACUUGGCCUGUGGUCCUUGUUCCUUAUAAUUUGCCUCCAUGGCUCUGCAUGAAGCAAUCUUCUUUGAUAUUAUCUAUGAUUAUCCCCAGAGAGAAAGGCCCCAGAAAUGAUAUUGACAUAUAUCUGCAGCCACUUAUUGAAGAGUUAAAACAAUUAUGGGCGGGUGUUGAGACGUAUGAUGUAUUGAGAAAUGAGAACUUUUACCUACAUGCUGCUUUGAUGUGGACAAUUAAUGAUUUCUCGGCAUAUGCGAAUUUAUCGAGUUGGAGUACCAAAGGACGUUAUGCUUGUCCUUGUUGUGUUACUCAAACUUGUUCACAGUGGUUAUAUAAUGGGAAGAAGUUCUACUAUAUGGGGCAUCGUCGGUGGUUAGAUGAAAAUCAUAGAUAUAGAUUUCAGAAGGCUUUAUUUGACGGUACUGAAGAGUUGAAAAAAGCUCCUAAGCAGACUAUUGGAUCUGAAAUCUUAUUCAUGUUAAAAGAUAUGGAUUUCAGUUACGGGAAGCUGAAUCAACCAUCUAACAGGCAAACAAAUAGAUGAUCGAGGGAUGAAUCUGAUGAUGAAUCUAACGAGGAGGAUGACCCUAAUGAGGCGGACUUGUGGAAGAAAAGAAGUAUUUUUUUUGAGUUGCCUUAUUGGGAGUAUCACAUAUUACGCCACAAUCUUGAUGUGAUGCAUAUUGAGAAGAAUGUCUGUGAGAACAUCAUCUGGACAAUUUUGAACGUCGAUGGUAAAUCAAAAGAUAAUCUUCAAAGUCAACUUGAUUUAGUUCACAUGGGAAUUAGGCGUGAUCUUCAUCCCCAAGUACUUCCUAAUGGAAAAUAUUGGUUGCCGCCUACAAUUUUUGCAAUGUCAAAGGAAGAGAAAGAAAUGUUCUGCACGGUAUUGAAGGAUAUAAAGGUUCCGAAUGCGUAUUCAUCAAAUAUAUCUCGAUGUGUAAGUCUUAAAGAUCGAAGACUAUAUUCAUUAAAAUCACAUGACUAUCACAUCCUGAUGCAAGAUCUACUUCCAGUUGCUUUACGGUGCUGUAUGUCAAAGAAGGUAAUGUCCUGUAUAAUUGAGCUGUCCAAUAUAAUGAAAGCAAUUUGUGGCAAAGUUCUGAAUGUUGAAGAACUUGAAAAAGUACAAGAUCGAGCCACUUUGACAUUAUGCAAUUUGGAGAAGAUCUUUCCACCUUCCUUCUUCACUAUUAUGGUGCACCUUGUCAUUCAUCUCCCUCGUGAAGCAAUAAUUGGUGGGCCGGUUUUCUAUCGUUGGAUGUAUCCAAUUGAAAGGUGCUAAUUUAUUUCAAAGGCAUUCACCUUUAUACCUAUAGUUACCAGUUUUGAUAAUGUUGUAUAUGGUGUUUAGGUUCCUAAGCAAAUUGAAGUCUUAUUGCAGUAACAAGCGUUAUCCGGAAGGAUCAAUUGCUGAAGGCUACUUGGCAGAGGAGUGUAUGACAUUCUGUUCUAGAUAUUUAGAUGUUGAAACAAGAUUGAAUAGACCAAGUAGAAAUGCCGGACUCAAUGAUCCUAACUUGGACAAAACUUAUUUAUUUCAAAGUUAUGGAGAACCAAUCGGCAAAGUUGAAAUUGUAGAAUUAGAUGACCGAUCUUGGAUACAAGCACAUAGAUAUGUUCUUUUCCACCACGAUGCACUUGAACAAUUACGCAAGUAAGUUCUAGAAUAUGAUAAAUAUUCUUCUUUUUUUGAUUUGUUUAUUUUUUAACGAAUUAAACAUGUGUUUAACAUAGUGAGUACAAACAAAUCUUAAGAUCUCGUCCACGCUCACGAAGAUUACAACAUCGCGAGAUUAAUAGGUUAUUCGCAGAAUCUUUUCAUGAAUGGUUAAGCCAAACGGUAUGCAACUCAACAUUUUGUUGACAAAUAAUAAUGUUUUCUCAUAACAUUUAUAAUUACUCAAUUUACUUUCGAUUCAAUAGGUUUGGAGUGGGAAUAUCGUUAAUGACGAAGUUAAAUGGCUUUCCUAAGGUCCGAAUCGAGUAGUAAAAAGAUAUAGUGGCUUCAUCAUGAAUGGAUUCAGAUUUCAUACCAAAUAUCGCGAAAGAUUGAGGAGAACUCAAAAUUGUGGAGUAGUUGUUAGUUCUUUAAUUACAAGUUACGCUAGUGCUAGGGACAGUAAUCCUAUCGAGGGAAAUGUGGAGUAUUAUGGACUUCUAACUGACAUUAUUGAGUUGGAUUAUUAUGGAAAAUGGAAAGUUGUCUUAUUUCGAUGUGAUUGGGCUGAUGCUAAUACUGCUCGCAGAAUUAAAAAUGAUCAGUUUGGUUUUACAAUGGUGAAUUUCUCUCGAUUAAUUCACACUGGAAAACAUUUGAUAGACAAGCCGUAUGUAUUUUCUUCUCAAGUUAAACAAGUUUUUUACUCGACAGAUCCAAUUGAUGAGGGUUGGUACGUUGUACUCUGAAACACCCCUAGAGACUUGUUUGACAUGGGGAAUGGAAGUAGAGAUGACAUCGGUGAAAGAUCAGAAACUUUGCCUUUUUCAGAACAAGACUUAGAUGAAAAUAUCCCUAGUACUAGUACACAAUUUCAAUGGGUUCGUCAGGAUGUAGACGAAGAUAUUUACGAUUUAUGAUGUAGUAAGAUUUUAUGAUUUUUUAUUUAUAUGUAAUGUCACAAUAUUAACAUUGGUCAUGUUAUAUAAUUUAACUAUUUUAUAUUUACUAUUGUUGUUAUUUCUUACUAAAAUUUUAUCUAUUUUAUGUGUUGCAGGAAAAAUGCCUAGAAGAAGAUUAAGAGAUCUUAGUAUUGUACAGAAUACUACAAAUUCGGAAGAAGUAAGUACUGAACAGCAGACAGUUGUUGGAUCUUCAAGCGUGCCGGAGAC